AGUGAACGCUGGCGGUAGGCCUAACACAUGCAAGUCGAACGGCAGCACAGUAAGAGCUUGCUCUUACGGGUGGCGAGUGGCGGACGGGUGAGGAAUACAUCGGAAUCUACUUUUUCGUGGGGGAUAACGUAGGGAAACUUACGCUAAUACCGCAUACGACCUACGGGUGAAAGCAGGGGAUCUUCGGACCUUGCGCGAUUGAAUGAGCCGAUGUCGGAUUAGCUAGUUGGCGGGGUAAAGGCCCACCAAGGGGACGAUCCGUAGCUGGUCUGAGUGGAGGAUCAGCCACACUGGAACUGAGACACGGUCCAGACUCCUACGGGAGGCAGCAGUGGGGAAUAUUGGACAAUGGGCGCAAGCCUGAUCCAGCCAUACCGCGUGGGUGAAGAAGGCCUUCGGGUUGUAAAGCCCUUUUGUUGGUAAAGAAAAGCAGCAGGUUAAGACCCCGCUGUUCUGACGGUACCCAAAGAAUAAGCACCGGCUAACUUCGUG
RNAcentral lists this ribosomal RNA (492 nucleotides) under uncultured bacterium. RNAcentral's name for it is "partial 16S ribosomal RNA". It matches the Rfam family "Bacterial small subunit ribosomal RNA", at positions 29 to 507 of the family's 1533-position model. The record is from RNAcentral.